RNA transcript from Manis pentadactyla (Chinese pangolin), 1966 nucleotides. It is a transcript of the gene named ankyrin repeat domain 66, with no coding region annotated. The record is from RefSeq and is a predicted model, not a curated record. The transcript has 5 exons. Lineage: Eukaryota; Metazoa; Chordata; Mammalia; Pholidota; Manidae.
AGUAAGCCUGCCACCAGCCCACAGCCUAUGAAGCUGACGGUGAUUGGCAGCCUCGCUGAGGGGGGCGGGCUCAGUCUCCAUGGGGUGCGCACAACAAGACUGGUAGCUGCCUGCCUGCCGGCUCCCAGCGUCUCAGAUCUCAGGACAUAGUUGUUGUCAUGGAGUUGACCAGAAUGUCAGACCUGACAAAGCUCCACCAAGCCGUGGCUGCAGGAGACGGCAAUUCGGUGAGAAAGAUUUUGAAGAAAGGUCUCUGUGACCCAAACUAUAAGGACAUGGACUGGAAUGACAGAACCCCACUUCACUGGGCUGCGAUCAAAGGGCAUUUGGACGUGAUGCAGCUCUUAAUAGAAUAUGGAGCCAGGCCCUGCCUGGUAACUGAUGUGGGCUGGACCCCAGCUCACUUUGCAGCUGAGUCAGGCCAUCUGAAUGUGCUCAAAAUUCUCCAUGCACUGCAUGCCGCCAUCGACGCCCCCGACUUCUUUGGAGACACACCAAAGAGGAUUGCGCAGAUCUACGGGCAGAAAGCCUGUGUGGCAUUCCUGGAGAAGGCUGAGCCUGAGUGCCGGGCCCACCGCCUCACCGCCAGGCGGAAGGGGCUGCCAUUGGACCAGCGGGAUGAAGACUGGGAUGCCAAGAAAAGGGAACUGGAGCUGUCUCUUCCCUCCUGGCAUCAAAACACUAAUAAGAAAAAGGAGAAGAAAAGUCGAGGCCCCACCAGGGCCAGCCAUACCAAGGAGAGGAGAGCGUGAGGAAGCCCGUGGCCAAGAGGCUGGACCUGCUUUCUGGUGGAAACCUUUCCCUGGUGGCAGAGUCAAGUUAUUAGGUGUGUGUUGUCUUUACAUGAUUUUUCCUCGUGGCCCAUUCCCAGACAGCUCCUGAACGUCAAGACUUGCCAAUUGAACGAAUAUCAUUAUAUACCCAGGAGGAGCAACCUGGACAGUAGACUGGCUCAGUGGAAAUAACUGGAAAUCCUGACAUGAAUUAAUUUCAUCCCACCUAACUAGUGAGAGAGAGCAUGAGCAAUCUGAUUGGAUCACGCAAGGCCACCCAGUGAGACCCAGCACUGCACUUUUUAAAGAAGAAUCGAUUCUGAUCACUUACCUUGGGCAAGAAGAUCCAACCUUCUAGACGCUAUUCUAUUCUGAGGAGACUGCUUAGAGGAGACUUGCCAGGAGGGAGACAGCAUCUCAGAUCUGAAGUAGACAAUAGGGAUGUGGAAGAAUAUAUAGAUACAUGGUGAUUAAGAAAUGUAUUUAGCCUAUAAUGUCUAUUUUCAAUUAAAAUUUGGUAAUUCAUUUUGUCUGUUGUGAAAGUGUAUAUACUGUAAAUUAUAGGGAAGUAAAUGAAAAUUCAUGAAUAAACAGUUUGAAUUUCCCUUGUGUUGAAGGAAGUUGAUAUACCUUUUCUUGCCAGGAGAAUGAAAAAAAUCAAGUUGAGAUGAUAUUUGGAUUUCAAGGAAGGAACCUUCUUUCUGUCAGUUUCCCAUUGUUAGAUUUUUGUGAAUUGGUUAGCAUUUCACUGCACAUGCUGAGGACCUCCAGACAGCCACAGACUGAAUCUUGACAAAAACAAAGAAGUGUUUGCUUUGUUACAUAUCGCAUUGCAACUUGAAUUUGUUGCUAGCUCUCAAGAAUCUCAAUAUGUUUUUUAAAAAUCUACUUAUUUGAUUAAAGCUCAGAUAGAUAGAUCCUUUUUAUUAAGUGACUUCUGUUACCAGCCUUUCCUUGGCAUUUUAAAAACAAGGCUGAGACGAAGUUGGCCCAUUCUGACAUGCAUUCUUUCUUAUCUCUUUUCUAGCAUUAAAGGCUCUAAAGAGAGAGAGAGAACUCAGAAAUCACACUAAAGUUGUCUCUAGCCUGAAUCUUAAUCAGUUUGACAAAACUUCCUCCCUUUAAAAAGUGAUAAAUAUAAACUGCCUGUGGUAAGUUAUGUCUCCAGUCGCUGAAUCCAAUCCCUUUUCUUA